GUUUGCAUCCCUACAUCCUUGUCCUCCUCGUCAUGCUGGCCGCCUGCGGCGGCGCGGAGGCUUAGACCGGCGUCGAGGUUUUGCAGCGCCUUUUCCUGACGAGCAGCUGCCGCUUCUUCUCUCAAGCCGUCAAGCGGCGGGCACAGCCUCGAUUCGGUCGCCUCGCCUUUUGUUUUUAUUUUUUGAGCUUUUGCUUUUAUUUUCUUACUUUAGGUUUUAAUUUUUAUUGAUUUGCAAAAAAAGAAAUCACCUGGCUUCUACAGGGCGCGCACGAUAGCGGGCCGGUGGAGUUCCGGACGUGGCCGGAUCCGGCAGGAGAGGAGGGGCAGUGCCAUGGCCGCACGGGGAAGCAGGCACGGGGGAGUAGGCGCACUAGCGGCAGCGCAGCC
This 389-nucleotide long non-coding RNA is filed under the name Brachypodium distachyon (stiff brome). RNAcentral describes it as "long non-coding RNA (BDIS_LNC005822)". The record is from RNAcentral. Lineage: Eukaryota; Viridiplantae; Streptophyta; Magnoliopsida; Poales; Poaceae.